CCUACGGGAGGCAGCAGUUGGGAAUAUUGGGCAAUGGGCGCAAGCCUGACCCAGCAACGCCGCGUGAAGGAAGAAGGCUUUCGGGUUGUAAACUUCUUUUCUGAGGGACGAACAAAGUGACGGUACCUCAGGAGUAAGCCACGGCUAACUACGUGCCAGCAGCCGCGGUAAUACGUAGGUGGCAAGCGUGAUCCGGAUUUAUUGGGUGGAAGGGGCGUGUAGGCGGGAAAGCAAGUUAGAUUUGAAAACUCAGGGCUCAACCCUGAGCCUGCAUUUGAAACGGUUUUUCUUGAGUUCUGGAGAGGCAAUCGGAAUUCCGUGUGUAGCGGUGAAAUGCGUAGAUAUACGGAGGAACACCAGUGGCGAAGGCGGAUUGCUGGACAGUAACUGACGCUGAGGCGCGAAAGCGUGGGGAGCAAACAGGAUUAGAUACCCGGGUAGUC
RNAcentral lists this ribosomal RNA (443 nucleotides) under uncultured bacterium. RNAcentral describes it as "partial 16S ribosomal RNA". It matches the Rfam family "Bacterial small subunit ribosomal RNA", at positions 338 to 795 of the family's 1533-position model. The record is from RNAcentral.